GGAGUCUAGCAUGUGCGCGAGUCAUUGGGAUCACACUAAACCUAAAGGGGUAAUGAAAGUAAAGGGUCCGCCUAGCGGGACCCAGGUAGGAUGGGCGGCCUAAGGGGCCGGCCCCCGCACUCCCGGGGCGUCUCGUUCUCAUCGCGAGAUGAGGCGCACCUAGAGCGUACACGCUGGGACCCGAAAGAUGGUGAACUAUGCCUGGUCAGGACGAAGUCAGGGGAAACCCUGAUGGAGGUCCGUAGCGAUUCUGACGUGCAAAUCGAUCGUCGGAACUGGGUAUAGGGGCGAAAGACUAAUCGAACCAUCUAGUAGCUGGUUCCCUCCGAAGUUUCCCUCAGGAUAGCUGGCGCUCGCCGCGUGCGAGUCUCAUUCGGUAAAGCGAAUGAUUAGAGGCAUUGGGGUCGAAACGGCCUCAACCUAUUCUCAAACUUUAAAUGGGUGAGAUCUCCGGCUUGCUUAAAUAGUGAAGCCGCGAGACACACAGGAUCAGAGUGCCAAGUGGGCCACUUUUGGUAAGCAGAACUGGCGCUGUGGGAUGAACCAAACGCCGAGUUAAAGCGCCUAAAUCGACGCUAAUGGGAUACCAUGAAAGGCGUUGGUAACUUAAGACAGCAGGACGGUGGCCAU
This 630-nucleotide ribosomal RNA is filed under the name Rhyparus australiae. RNAcentral describes it as "eukaryotic LSU rRNA". It matches the Rfam family "Eukaryotic large subunit ribosomal RNA", at positions 670 to 1255 of the family's 3401-position model. Lineage: Eukaryota; Metazoa; Arthropoda; Insecta; Coleoptera; Scarabaeidae. The record is from RNAcentral.